ACACAUGCAAGUCGAGCGGCAGCGACAACAUUGACCCUUCGGGGGAUUUGUUGGGCGGCGAGCGGCGGACGGGUGAGUAAUGCCUGGGAACAUGCCUUAGUGUGGGGGAUAACCAUUGGAAACGAUGGCUAAUACCGCAUAAUCUCUACGGAGCAAAGAGGGGGACCUUCGGGCCUCUCGCGCUAAGAUUGGCCCAGGUGGGAUUAGCUAGUAGGUGGGGUAACGGCUCACCUAGGCGACGAUCCCUAGCUGGUCUGAGAGGAUGAUCAGCCACACUGGAACUGAGACACGGUCCAGACUCCUACGGGAGGCAGCAGUGGGGAAUAUUGCACAAUGGGGGAAACCCUGAUGCAGCCAUGCCGCGUGUGUGAAGAAGGCCUUCGGGUUGUAAAGCACUUUCAGCAGUGAGGAAGGCGGUAUCGUUAAUAGCGGUAUUGUUUGACGUUAGCUGCAGAAGAAGCACCGGCUAACUCCGUGCCAGCAGCCGCGGUAAUACGGAGGGUGCGAGCGUUAAUCGGAAUUACUGGGCGUAAAGCGCAUGCAGGCGGCUUGUUAAGCCAGAUGUGAAAGCCCGGGGCUCAACCUCGGAAUCGCAUUUGGAACUGGCAGGCUAGAGUCUUGUAGAGGGGGGUAGAAUUUCAGGUGUAGCGGUGAAAUGCGUAGAGAUCUGAAGGAAUACCGGUGGCGAAGGCGGCCCCCUGGACAAAGACUGACGCUCAGAUGCGAAAGCGUGGGGAGCAAACAGGAUUAGAUACCCUGGUAGUCCACGCCGUAAACGAUGUCUACUUGGAGGUUGGUGUCUUGAACACUGGCUUUCGGAGCUAACGCGUUAAGUAGACCGCCUGGGGAGUACGGUCGCAAGAUUAAAACUCAAAUGAAAUUGACGGGGGCCCGCACAAGCGGUGAGCAUGUGUUUAAUUCGAUGCAACGCGAAGAACCUUACCUACUCUUGACAUCCACGGAAUCCUGCAGAGAUGCGGAGUGCCUUUCGGAACCGUGAGACAAGGUGCUGCAUGCUGUCGUCAGCUCGUGUUGUGAAAUGUUGGGAUAAGUCCCGCAACGGCGCAACCCUUA
RNAcentral lists this ribosomal RNA (1074 nucleotides) under bacterium N15(2007). RNAcentral's name for it is "bacterial SSU rRNA". It matches the Rfam family "Bacterial small subunit ribosomal RNA", at positions 51 to 1107 of the family's 1533-position model. The record is from RNAcentral.